RNAcentral lists this ribosomal RNA (942 nucleotides) under Anaerobacillus isosaccharinicus. Its description in RNAcentral is "bacterial SSU rRNA". It matches the Rfam family "Bacterial small subunit ribosomal RNA", at positions 75 to 1003 of the family's 1533-position model. The record is from RNAcentral. Lineage: Bacteria; Bacillati; Bacillota; Bacilli; Caryophanales; Bacillaceae.
CUUGCUCUCAAUUCGUUAGCGGCGGACGGGUGAGUAACACGUGGGCAACCUGCCCUGUAGACUGGGAUAACUUCGGGAAACCGAAGCUAAUACCGGAUAAUCUUUAGCGUCACAUGGCGCAAAAGUAAAAGUUGGGUUUACCUAACACUACAGGAUGGGCCCGCGGCGCAUUAGCUAGUUGGUAAGGUAAUGGCUUACCAAGGCGACGAUGCGUAGCCGACCUGAGAGGGUGAUCGGCCACACUGGGACUGAGACACGGCCCAGACUCCUACGGGAGGCAGCAGUAGGGAAUCUUCCGCAAUGGACGAAAGUCUGACGGAGCAACGCCGCGUGAACGAUGAAGGCCUUCGGGUCGUAAAGUUCUGUUGUUAGGGAAGAACAAGUACCGUUCAAAUAGGGCGGUACCUUGACGGUACCUAACCAGAAAGCCACGGCUAACUACGUGCCAGCAGCCGCGGUAAUACGUAGGUGGCAAGCGUUGUCCGGAAUUAUUGGGCGUAAAGCGCGCGCAGGCGGUCUCUUAAGUCUGAUGUGAAAGCCCACGGCUCAACCGUGGAGGGUCAUUGGAAACUGGGAGACUUGAGUGCAGAAGAGGAGAGUGGAAUUCCAUGUGUAGCGGUGAAAUGCGUAGAUAUAUGGAGGAACACCAGUGGCGAAGGCGACUCUCUGGUCUGUAACUGACGCUGAGGCGCGAAAGCGUGGGGAGCAAACAGGAUUAGAUACCCUGGUAGUCCACGCCGUAAACGAUGAGUGCUAGGUGUUAGGGGUUUCGAUGCCCUUAGUGCCGAAGUUAACACAUUAAGCACUCCGCCUGGGGAGUACGACCGCAAGGUUGAAACUCAAAGGAAUUGACGGGGGCCCGCACAAGCAGUGGAGCAUGUGGUUUAAUUCGAAGCAACGCGAAGAACCUUACCAGGUCUUGACAUCCUUUGACAACCCUAG